RNAcentral lists this ribosomal RNA (916 nucleotides) under uncultured archaeon. Its description in RNAcentral is "bacterial SSU rRNA". It matches the Rfam family "Archaeal small subunit ribosomal RNA", at positions 1 to 923 of the family's 1478-position model. The record is from RNAcentral.
UUUCCGGUUGAUCCUGCCGGACCCGACUGCUAUCAGAAUGAGAUUAAGCCAUGCGAGUCAACGUAGCAAUACGUGGCACACGGCUCAGUAACACGUAGUCAACAUAACCAAUGGACGUGGAUAAACUCGGGAAACUGAGGCUAAACCGCGAUAGACCAAGAUACCUGGAAUGGUUUUUGAUCAAAAUCUAUAUGGCCUUUGGAUUGGACUGCGACCGAUCAGUUUGUUGGUGAGGUAAUGGCCCACCAAGACUAUUACAGGUACGGGCUCUGAGAGGAGUAGCCCGGAGAUGGGUACUGAGACACGGACCCAGGCCCUAUGGGGCGCAGCAGGCGAGAAAACUUUGCAAUGUGCGAAAGCACGACAAGGUUAAUCCGAGUGGUUUCUGCUAAAGAAACCUUUUGUCAGUCCUAGAAACACUAACGAAUAAGGGGUGGGCAAGUUCUGGUGUCAGCCGCCGCGGUAAAACCAGCACCUCAAGUGGUCAGGAUGAUUAUUGGGCCUAAAGCAUCCGUAGCCCGUUUUGUAAGUUUUCGGUUAAAUCCAUGCGCUUAACGUAUGGGCUGCCGGGAAUACUGCAUAACUAGGAAGUGGGAGAGGUAGACGGUACUCGGUAGGAAGGGGUAAAAUCCUUUGAUCUAUUGAUGACCACCUGUGGCGAAGGCGGUCUACCAGAACACGUUCGACGGUGAGGGAUGAAAGCUGGGGGAGCAAACCGGAUUAGAUACCCGGGUAGUCCCAGCUGUAAACUAUGCAAACUCAGUGAUGCAUUGGCUUGUGGCCAAUGCAGUGCUGCAGGGAAGCCGUUAAGUUUGCCGCCUGGGAAGUACGUACGCAAGUAUGAAACUUAAAGGGAAUUGGCGGGGGAGCACCACAAGGGGUGAAGCCUGCGGUUCAAUUGGAUUCAACGCCGGAA